AUGAGGAGAACGAUACCUGAGAGAAAGAGGAGCGGAGUCACGUCCAGAGGGAACCAAGUCCUCGAAUACCGGUUGAGCGGAGCGGCAUUCCCACGAGGGGCCCCGGGAAUCAAUUACCGCUCUCCCGAGGCGGUGGAUCGGCCACCGGCGGAUCGACAACGUGGCAGACAGGCACGCGGUCAGGCUGUCGCCAUUUGAUUCGCACAUAGUCGGCUCCUAAUUGCAUCACGCCGGGCCGCAGGUACGUGUGGUUGUAGGACAGAGUGGGAAUUCAUCGGGGUUCGGCCCUGAAAAACUACAGUGUCCCUCUGGUAAUGAAGGCGAGGCGAGCGCUUUAAUGUGGUUGGCCCCUGAGCCGUCCCGGGCUGCUAACCGCUCGCAGUCACGGAGGCUCGAGGAACCGGUCUCUUGAGCCUCGGACAGUUUGAUCGACAGCUGACAUGACUGGCUCCGGAGUUGCCAGUCAAUCCAGCACCGAGAGCUGCCCCAGUGCACCUGUCUUCCAAUAACGGAAAGACUUCAAAGGAUGUUCUUCCUCUAUAUCCAUCUAGUAUUGUUGUCUUCUCUCUGAGAGGUGCACUCCGUGUUGCAACCGCGUCCUCUGGACACCGAAAGUUUGCAAUGUGGAAGUACCGUUUCGCCAAAAGUUUGCAGGAGGAGAAACGGUGCUCGGGUUUCUGCUUCGCCACAACUUAAAUUCAUUUGGUUACGUGACACUCGGAGUUGCUCUCACAAGACGCAAUAGAUCAUCUGGGCCUUAUGAGGUGACAGAUGGUGUAAUAUGGCUUCUUUCUUUCUUGAGCGUUGUCUAAACUUCCUCCCGUGACAUCAGAGAGACGGCAGCAGACUCCCCCGGGCAUCAAGAGGCAGACGGACUGGAAAAAAACAUAAUCACGACUGCGCUAUUAAUCUACUCCGCUGCCGCCCUUGAUCAAUACAUAUUUUGCCCGUGUUCAACAAUAACCAUUUAUCAAGUCCGCCUCGUUCUGCAAGGGAUAACCUUUUAAGAUGUCAAGAGGAAGGAGGGACUUCUGUUUAAUAUGCACCUUUAAAACAUUUAUGUGCCGCACAUUGGUAAAGUACACGUAAUGCCCUUAACUACAGUAUCACGUAAUCCUGAAUGAUACUUUUCCUCGUCAAGUCUUUGUCAGGUGGUGGCACCUUUUUGUUUCCUUUGUUGACCUUGACAACAAUUUUACACCAAAUAGAGAAAAAGUUGACCCCGACUUUAUUUGCGUUGUGAAAAGUCACCUGCCUGGACCCACGCUUGACUUUGGGGUCUGUGGAAAUUCAUGAAGGUGCGUCCGCUAAGUGAAUAAUCUGUUUCCCUGUCAGGUACAAGUCACAGUGCCAGACAAGGACAAAGGCAAAAAUAAAACCCCGAGGCUCUGUCUGUUGAGAGUGAAGAGGAAACCCGGAUUUGAGUCGUGUUCUGCAUAAGGUCUGUUUCGUAUCUGUCCCUACGUGUCUGAUCAGUCACUUUUGUGGGCAAAUAAAAAUAAAGGGACGUCGACAGACAUACAUAAUGACAGCGAACCUUAUUUUAAACGUCAGAUCUUCUCAAAUUUUUGUUUUAGUUACUGCGAGUCCUUGUAAUUAAAGGUGGUGGGACUUGUGUGUUACACUUCCCAUCCUUCUGCCAUUAUACAUCAGAGUAUUUUAUAUUUUUUUAUUCACC
Molecule: long non-coding RNA, 1678 nt
Organism: Scophthalmus maximus (turbot)
Lineage: Eukaryota; Metazoa; Chordata; Actinopteri; Pleuronectiformes; Scophthalmidae
Source: Ensembl